AACAUCGCGCACCUGCGGGAACCUGCGGAGGGAUCAUUAUCGAAACCUUCAAAACUUGGGUAUGCUUGGCCUGGCCUUUUGGCCGUAAGAGCCGGCUCCCAGUCAUCCCCCUUCACACCUUGCUCACCUUCAGAGGGGAAAAAGGAGGGGAGGGUUGUUUGCCCUUUCCCCCUUGACCCCCCUUUUUUUUACACAAAAAAAGCACCUUGUUGUCACAGAAUGUUUUGUGUAUUUGACAAA
Molecule: unclassified non-coding RNA, 240 nt
Filed under: soil metagenome
Description: partial contains 5.8S ribosomal RNA, internal transcribed spacer 2, and large subunit ribosomal RNA
Source: RNAcentral